UACGGAGGAUGCGAGCGUUAUCCGGCUUUAUUGGGUUUAAAGGGUGCGCAGGCGGUCUGUUAAGUCAGCGGUCAAAGCCCGGGGCUCAACCCCGGCCCGCCGUUGAAACUGGCGGCCUCGAGUGGGCGAGAAGUAUGCGGAAUGCGUGGUGUAGCGGUGAAAUGCAUAGAUAUCACGCAGAACUCCGAUUGCGAAGGCAGCAUACCGGCGCCCAACUGACGCUCAGGCACGAAAGCGUGGGGAGCAAACAGG
Molecule: ribosomal RNA, 252 nt
Filed under: uncultured Bacteroidales bacterium
Lineage: Bacteria; Pseudomonadati; Bacteroidota; Bacteroidia; Bacteroidales
Description: partial 16S ribosomal RNA
Rfam family: Bacterial small subunit ribosomal RNA
Source: RNAcentral